Non-coding RNA from Tetranychus urticae (two-spotted spider mite), 1284 nucleotides. The record is from RefSeq and is a predicted model, not a curated record. NCBI's taxonomy places the organism in Eukaryota, Metazoa, Arthropoda, Arachnida, Trombidiformes, Tetranychidae.
UUGUUGAAUCAGUUAUUCAUGAAAAACCUUUCCUGUUAACAAGUUUGUAACUCAACUUGGUUUGCAAGUGAAACAUUCAUUGUGAUCGAAAGAUAAAACAAUUAGUGAUUUCAGUUGAUUCAGAUAAAUUGUAGAUACAAAGUUGGCUGAUAAAGUUAUCCCAAAAUUGUUGAUAAAAUCCUUUGCCUUUAAACCUACAAUUUAAGAUUAAUCUGGUUUGAUAUCACAUCGAAUUGAACAGAACAAGAAUCCAGAUUCAUCAUGGUUAAAUCAAACUUGAUUGUUUCUCUUUUCAUCUUAUUCUCAGUUCUCCUCAUUUUAAGCCCGCUUGCAUCAAGUCAUGUGAAUUCAAACGACGAUAGUAAGUGGAUACUAGGUGUCUCAGAAUUGAGAGAUCUUUAUGAACUAUUAAUGAGAAAUCAAGGUCCCGCACCCGAAGCGUACCUGCGAUUUGGCCAUCAAAUGGAGAGGAAAGGAGGUCGAUCUCCAGCUUUGAGAUUGCGGUUUGGACGAAGAUCGGAUCCAACUUGGGCCAAUCGUCCAAGCAUGACUGAGAUUGCCGAUGCUGCAUAAGAACUAUCAAUCGAAAUGUUAAGAAGUUUUCAAAUGAACGUCAAAAAGCAGACAAAAACAAAUUAAGAGCAACAACAAUCAAAUCAAUAAACAAUGAAAACUGUUUUUUCCUUCUUAUACAUAAAUAUUUACAUAAAGUUCAAGAAAGUCAACAAGUGAAAGCCAAUUCAUCAAUGGAUAGGAUUCAAUCUUUUAAUUACAGCCAAGUUUACCUUUGAAUAUCGCCAGUGAACAGAAGGUCUAUUUCAUGGGAUAUUAGGAAGAAUAUAAAGUGAUUAGAUGAAACAAAACUUGAUAAAUCAUUUUAUUAAUGUCUAUUUGUUGGUUUCAUAUUAAACUUCAAUUCCCGGUUCAGUUGUUAUCAGAUGAAAAUUUCUUUUGACAGAAAAAUUAUUUUUCGUUUUGUCCAUGGUUCUUCAUUCUUUUUCACUCAACUAAUAGAUAAUGUUCUUGUCUCAACUCUUCCAUGAUGAAAACAAUAAUCGCCAUUCAGACGAUGAAAAAAAGUUCAAUUUGAGUCAAUAAAGUUGACAAUUUUCUUUGUUUUGCAUUCCAUUUCACUUUGUAAUUCGUUCUUUUCCUCAAAGUUUGUCAUUUCAACGGCAUUUGUUUGAAAUUUUAUUUCUUUAUUCGUUGAUGAGUUUAACUAAAUUCAAAUCUAUUGUAUUCAUAUUGUCCUUGUUUUAUCAGUAAAAAUAAUGUUGAUUUAAA